UGGGGAAUAUUGCGCAAUGGGGGCAACCCUGACGCAGCCAUGCCGCGUGAAUGAAGAAGGCCUUCGGGUUGUAAAGUUCUUUCGGUGACGAGGAAGGCGUGAUGUUUUAUAGGCAUCACGAUUGACGUUAAUCACAGAAGAAGCACCGGCUAACUCCGUGCCAGCAGCCGCGGUAAUACGGAGGGUGCGAGCGUUAAUUGGAAUAACUGGGCGUAAAGGGCACGCAGGCGGCUAUUUAAAUGAGGUGUGAAAUCCCCGGGCUUAACCUGGGAAUUGCAUUUCAGACUGGGUAGCUAGAGUACUUUAGGGAGGGGUAGAAUUCCACGUGUAGCGGUGAAAUGCGUAGAGAUGUGGAGGAAUACCGAAGGCGAAGGCAGCCCCUUGGGAAUGUACUGACGCUCAUGUGCGAAAGCGUGGGGAGCAAACAGGAUUAGAUACCCUGGUAGUCCCCGCUGUAAACGCUGUCGAUUUGGGGAUUGGGCCUUGAGCUUGGUGCCCGAAGCUAACGUGAUAAAUCGACCGCCUGGGGAGUACGGCCGCAAGGUUAA
This 548-nucleotide ribosomal RNA is filed under the name uncultured bacterium. Its description in RNAcentral is "bacterial SSU rRNA". It matches the Rfam family "Bacterial small subunit ribosomal RNA", at positions 355 to 897 of the family's 1533-position model. The record is from RNAcentral.